RNAcentral lists this long non-coding RNA (553 nucleotides) under Erythranthe guttata (spotted monkey flower). Its description in RNAcentral is "long non-coding RNA (EGUT_LNC001225)". The record is from RNAcentral. Lineage: Eukaryota; Viridiplantae; Streptophyta; Magnoliopsida; Lamiales; Phrymaceae.
UCAUGUUUUAAUAUUAUGUUGUUAAUUCAGCAACAUUUCAUAUAUACCCUGCACAAAAUGAAAACAUUAAUACAGAUUGAGAUUAAAAUUUACUUCUUCCAAAAUUAAAUAUAUAUUAUAAAUUGUUCUUGUUUCGUGAAUGGAGUACAACUGGCAAAAGAUGAAAAAUGCAGGCAAAACAUUUACCUUCGCUGUGAAGAAACGGCCACCUUUAUUUAAUUAAUUAGAUAAUAUUUUAAUAAUCAAGAAAUGGGUGAAAUAUAAUCAAGAUUUAUGGUUUCUUUCUGUUUUUUUUUACAGAAAGAAAUUCAAAUCUGAGGGAAUAAACGAAUUAAAGGCUACAUGUUAAAGAAAAGUGGCCGGCCGUCGAAGGCACAUGCAUGCAACAAAAAACUUUGUAUAUAUAUACAUAUAUAUCAUAUAUAUGUGUGUGUAUAAAUGUAUAUUUAAUAUUUAAACAUUUAGAUUCUCAAAAUAUAUAUAUAUAUAUAGAUAUAAAUAUUUACAUAAUCAGAGCUCUUAAUUCAUAGGACGAACAAGAGCUCGUAAGGUG